RNAcentral lists this long non-coding RNA (219 nucleotides) under Macaca nemestrina (pig-tailed macaque). RNAcentral's name for it is "lncRNA (ENSMNEG00000046150.1)". Lineage: Eukaryota; Metazoa; Chordata; Mammalia; Primates; Cercopithecidae. The record is from RNAcentral.
CUUCUGGAGGCUGGGGGGUUCUGAUGGGCUCAGAGGUCUGAAAUCUGAGGUGGAGGACACUGGGGCAGCCAAAGCUCUCCAGCGCCCCCUGCCCCCGAAGCUGGCUGGAAGGAAGGUGGGAGACACCUGUUGGGUGGCUGAGAGCGGCAGAGCCCACAUGGGCCUCUCCCCAUGCGCCCCGCCCGCCCUGUCCGGCUCGGGUCCCGCCCCCGCGGCCCC